RNAcentral lists this ribosomal RNA (460 nucleotides) under uncultured bacterium. RNAcentral's name for it is "partial 16S ribosomal RNA". It matches the Rfam family "Bacterial small subunit ribosomal RNA", at positions 338 to 795 of the family's 1533-position model. The record is from RNAcentral.
CCUACGGGUGGCAGCAGUGAGGAAUAUUGGUCAAUGGCCGGAAGGCUGAACCAGCCAUGCCGCGUGAAGGUCAGUGCCCUAUGGGCGUUAAACUUCUUUUGUGCGGGAGCAAUAAUGGUCACGUGUGGCCAGACGAGAGUACCGUACGAAUAAGCAUCGGCUAACUCCGUGCCAGCAGCCGCGGUAAUACGGGGGAUGCAAGCGUUAUCCGGAUUUAUUGGGUUUAAAGGGUGGGUAGGCUGUGAGGUAAGUCAGCGGUGAAAUGCCCCCGCUCAACGGGGUGAAGUGCCAUUGAUACUGCCUGGCUGGAAUGCGGAUGCCGUGGGAGGAAUGUGGGGUGUAGCGGUGAAAUGCAUAGAUAUCACACAGAACACCGAUUGCGAAGACAUCUCACGAAUCCGCGAUUGACGCUGAGGCACGAAAGCGUGGGUAUCAAACAGGAUUAGAUACCCCAGUAGUC